This 1211-nucleotide unclassified non-coding RNA is filed under the name Orbicella faveolata. RNAcentral's name for it is "uncharacterized LOC110068726, transcript variant X1". Lineage: Eukaryota; Metazoa; Cnidaria; Anthozoa; Scleractinia; Merulinidae. The record is from RNAcentral.
UUCACCUCCACAGAUACCAAAUAGGUUAUUGUAUAGUACGAUACAACAGAGGAAAAGAAACGGGGAAAUACUCUAUUACGAAAUAUUUAAAUGGAAAAUGAAACAUGCUCCAAGUGAAGUUCAUCGCUUUUGCGACGUUUCAGAGGACGAGCAAGUGAGGAGAGUUUUAAAUUCCUGGAUAAGAGAUGUGGAUGACAGGAGUUCAUGCCAGGCACUGCAGAUCCUGUUUUCUUUUUCUGUUCCUUACCAGCAAGCACUUGACCAUAUCUUGAGCUUAAAAGUUCCCAUUAUCUCUGCAGGUGCAGUUCCCGGAGGAAGGGGGUCAAAUGAGGCUAAAUCAUCAGAUCCAAAAUGGUCCUAACAGGGAAAUGGAUACUGGGAGUUUCUUCUUAGGGAGCGAGGUGCAGACAUCAUAGCAUUUGAUCAGAACACAGUGUAUCCAAAAGCCAUGAGAUACAUAGACAUAACGGAAGGUAGCCCAAGCAUUUUACAUGAUCAUGAAGACAGGGCUUUAUUACUUAGCUGGCCCGAUCAUGAAGAGGACUGUUCUUUUUCUCUGGAUUGCCUGAAGAAUUAUAAAGGAGGUACUAUCAUUCACAUCGGUGAACUGUUCGGCGAAACUCUCUCGGCCAAUCCCUGGGGACAAACUACAUCGCGUGCCUUUCAGCUGGAACUUGGAGAACGUUUCCGCUGCGUGUCACGUGUCCAGCUACCAAACUGGCCUGGUCAUAUGGACUCACUGACCGUUUGGUCACGUGCUUCACAGCCCGUAGAGUGCGAUGGGGCUGAAAUGGUGUUUGUCCGUUUGGAGAACCCAAGAUAUCUUGGAUGGAAUGUCACGUAAUUCAAUAGGACUGCGUACGCUUAGAAUAUUGUGCUUUACCUCUCUUAAUUUAUUAUCUGAGAAAGACAUUCCAAUGGGCAAAACCUUCCGGCUCGAAAUGCGGAAGAUUUUAUGCCUACAGUAUUUCACAAAUCGAUCGCGUGGUACAAAAUUCACAAGAAUGAGGACAUGUAAGAAAGAAAAGUCAACUUCACUGAUUGAAGUAACUUUGCUUUGAAUCUUUGGAGGCUGAACACUCUUUGGGCAGUAUUAAAUCUUUCAUGAUAGUAAUCAAGAUACAAUUAUAGAAACAUCACAAAGCAAAACUCCUACAUGAUCUGUUAUUUUAUUUUCUGUAUUAAAGACUACGGAAUAAACCAUCAUACUA